Eriocheir sinensis (Chinese mitten crab) is the source of this 360-nucleotide long non-coding RNA. RefSeq lists it as uncharacterized. The record is from RefSeq and is a predicted model, not a curated record. The transcript has 3 exons. NCBI's taxonomy places the organism in Eukaryota, Metazoa, Arthropoda, Malacostraca, Decapoda, Varunidae.
GUCACCUCUUCGCCAGCACCUUUUCCUUCACAGAGGCUUCCCGCAACUCGGAGGUCACCUCUUCGCCAGCACCUUUUCCUUCACAGAGGCUUCCCGCAACUCGGAGGUCACCUCUUCGCCAGCACCUUUUCCUUCACAGAGGCUUCCCGCAACUCGGAGGUCACCUCUUCGCCAGCACCUUUUCCUUCACAGAGGCUUCCCGCAACUCGGAGGUCGCCUCUUCGCCAGCACUUUUUCCUUCACAGAGGCUUCCCGCAACUCGGGGGUCGCCUCGUCUGCAGCUUAAUUUUCUCCGUCGGGCGUCAGGUCACGAGCAUUGUUACCGGACCGUCCCAGGUGGCUGUAGGUCCCUUAAUGAGC